AUUGAACGCUGGCGGCAUGCUUUACACAUGCAAGUCGAACGGCAGCGCGGGCUUCGGCCUGGCGGCGAGUGGCGAACGGGUGAGUAAUACAUCGGAACGUGCCCAGUAGUGGGGGAUAGCUCGGCGAAAGCCGGAUUAAUACCGCAUACGACCUGAGGGUGAAAGCGGGGGAUCUUCGGACCUCGCGCGAUUUGAGCGGCCGAUGGCAGAUUAGCUAGUUGGUGGGGUAAAGGCCUACCAAGGCGACGAUCUGUAGCUGGUCUGAGAGGACGACCAGCCACACUGGGACUGAGACACGGCCCAGACUCCUACGGGAGGCAGCAGUGGGGAAUUUUGGACAAUGGGCGAAAGCCUGAUCCAGCAAUGCCGCGUGUGUGAUGAAGGCCUUCGGGUUGUAAAGCACUUUUGGCGGGAACGAAAAGGACUGUGCCAAUACCACGGUUCGAUGACGGUACCCGCAGAAUAAGCACCGGCUAACUACGUG
This 484-nucleotide ribosomal RNA is filed under the name uncultured bacterium. Its description in RNAcentral is "partial 16S ribosomal RNA". It matches the Rfam family "Bacterial small subunit ribosomal RNA", at positions 29 to 507 of the family's 1533-position model. The record is from RNAcentral.